Molecule: ribosomal RNA, 425 nt
Filed under: uncultured bacterium
Lineage: Bacteria
Description: partial 16S ribosomal RNA
Rfam family: Bacterial small subunit ribosomal RNA
Source: RNAcentral
GUGGGGAAUCUUGCGCAAUGGGCGAAAGCCUGACGCAGCCAUGCCGCGUGAAUGAUGAAGGUCUUAGGAUUGUAAAAUUCUUUCACCGGGGACGAUAAUGACGGUACCCGGAGAAGAAGCUCCGGCUAACUUCGUGCCAGCAGCCGCGGUAAUACGAAGGGGGCUAGCGUUGCUCGGAAUUACUGGGCGUAAAGGGCGCGUAGGCGGACAGCUUAGUCAGAGGUGAAAGACCAGGGCUCAACCUUGGAAUUGCCUUUGAUACUGGCUGUCUUGAGUUUGGGAGAGGUGAGUGGAACUCCGAGUGUAGAGGUGAAAUUCGUAGAUAUUCGGAAGAACACCAGUGGCGAAGGCGACUCACUGGCCCAAUACUGACGCUGAGGCGCGAAAGCGUGGGGAGCAAACAGGAUUAGAAACCCUGGUAGUCC